This 217-nucleotide long non-coding RNA is filed under the name Pelobates cultripes (western spadefoot toad). Lineage: Eukaryota; Metazoa; Chordata; Amphibia; Anura; Pelobatidae. The record is from RNAcentral.
GGGGAGCUCUCCGCCUCCGAUCCUCCCAUUCGGCUGAAUGCGCACGCACGGCAAGAGCUGCGCGCGCAUUCAGCCGGUCUCAUAGGAAAGCAUUCAUAAUGCUUUCCUAUGGACGCUGGCGUCUUCUCACUGUGAUUUUCACAGUGAGAAUCACGCAAGUGCCUCUAGUGGCUGUCAAUGAGACAGCCGCUAGAGGCUUUGGAGGAUGGAUUAACCC